This is a non-coding RNA of Lentinula aff. lateritia, 84 nucleotides long. Lineage: Eukaryota; Fungi; Basidiomycota; Agaricomycetes; Agaricales; Omphalotaceae. The record is from the annotation of a GenBank genome assembly.
GCAUUAAUGGGGUAGUGGUAACCUGGGUCGUUGCCAUAGCCAACGUCGCUCGACCCGCCGGGGGUUCGAUUCCCUCUUAAUGCA